RNAcentral lists this small nucleolar RNA (103 nucleotides) under Purpureocillium lilacinum. RNAcentral describes it as "Small nucleolar RNA Z13/snr52". It matches the Rfam family "Small nucleolar RNA Z13/snr52". Rfam says of the family: Z13 or snr52 is a member of the C/D class of snoRNA which contain the C (UGAUGA) and D (CUGA) box motifs. Most of the members of the box C/D family function in directing site-specific 2'-O-methylation of substrate RNAs. The record is from Rfam by way of RNAcentral. Lineage: Eukaryota; Fungi; Ascomycota; Sordariomycetes; Hypocreales; Ophiocordycipitaceae.
CCCUUCACAAUGAUGAAUUAUUUCGGAUGUAAAACAUAAUGUUGUCGGAAUGCGCAAACAUACCAUGUCGAGAUUUCCGUUGCCUUCCUUCUGAUACCGAAGG